This 460-nucleotide ribosomal RNA is filed under the name uncultured bacterium. RNAcentral describes it as "partial 16S ribosomal RNA". It matches the Rfam family "Bacterial small subunit ribosomal RNA", at positions 338 to 795 of the family's 1533-position model. The record is from RNAcentral.
CCUACGGGAGGCAGCAGUGAGGAAUAUUGGUCAAUGGACGGAAGUCUGAACCAGCCAUGCCGCGUGCAGGAAGACGGCUCUAUGAGUUGUAAACUGCUUUUGUACAAGGGUAAAGCGGAAUACGUGUAUUCAGCUGAAAGUACUGUACGAAUAAAGAUCGGCUAACUCCGUGCCAGCAGCCGCGGUAAUACGGAGGAUCCAAGCGUUAUCCGGAUUUAUUGGGUUUAAAGGGUGCGUAGGGGGAUUGCUAAGUUAGUGGUGAAAUGUCCGCGCUUAACUCGGGAACUGCCUCUAAUACUGGUGCUCUUGAGCGUAGUUGCGGUAGGUGGACUGCAUGGUGUAGCGGUGAAAUGCUUCGAGAUCAUACAGAACACCGAUUGCGAAGGCAGCUUACCAAUCUGUAUCUGACGUUGAUGCACGAAAGCGUGGGGAGCACACAGGAUUAGAUACCCGGGUAGUC